Molecule: long non-coding RNA, 2390 nt
Organism: Bicyclus anynana (squinting bush brown)
Lineage: Eukaryota; Metazoa; Arthropoda; Insecta; Lepidoptera; Nymphalidae
Exons: 2
Source: RefSeq, a predicted model, not a curated record
UGUUAUUUACUCCGUAGUUGCUUGACGUACCUACCUACAGUGGCGUGCAUUGGUAUACACGCAAAAAUGCCCUGCCUACCCUGAUGACUCAUUCUCUUCGCGUCGUGUUCCUCAUUACUGAGGGUCGUGACCCCUCACACACAUUCACGACUUUUGUCCGCACGACAUCGCGCCAUGCGGCUCGGCUUUUCGCGACUUGUAGAGCUUCGUGUACUUUUGUAUCGAGAGUGUUGCGGAUUUGAUCUGACCAACGCAUCGGGCUAUGUUCUCGAUACUACUUUGCCAGUGAUAAGAUGAUUUACGAACCUGUAAAUGCAGAAUAUUAAAAUUUUGUACAAUUUCUACGUAAAGAGCCUACCCUCAUUAACAAGCGAUAGUAUAUUUCGACGGAUAUUCCACAAUAACACUUUUAAGUCAUUUAAAUUUUUACAACAAAUAAUGGCUAAUUUUUGAAGUGAUUUUAACCAAUACAGCAUUAAUCCUUAUCCAAUGAAAUACCUUAAAUACAUAAUUGAUUUAAUAUUGAUUUAUAUGUCAUAUGAUUGAAAUGGAUAUUUUCGAAGUCAUUACAGAUUUAAAACUAUACUCCAAUGUGGGUUGGUGGCCUACCUAACGGUGGAAUUCAUAGUCGUAGUAGGGGGCCCCUAAGGGGAUUAUUCAGCCGCUAUGUGUCGAAUUCAACCCCUACGCGUUUCAUAGACAAAAGAAACCCCUCAUUUGACAGGAGCUGGCGGCUGACUGCUGAAUUACCGAUAUUUGUCAGCCAAACCAUCCCCUGGCAUUUUUUUUUGUUGUUAUUCGUGAUUUAUUUAUUAGAAAGUGGACGUUCGGAUCGUUAUAAGUGAAGUUAUAAACAGCGAGUUAUAUCAGUGCCCAAGAUAUAUAUUCGCAAUUGCGUAAACCCAGUAUAAUACUAUGGCGAUAUGGAAUGUACGAAAGAUUCUCAUAUUAGGCAUAAUAUGCCUCUGUUUGAUGAAGAAUGAACACAGAAGACCAAGAGAGGAAUACCAAUACCGCUAGUAUUAUACAUUCUAGCAGCACUUCGAUUCUAUGAAACGGGAUGUUAUCAGACUGUAGGUGCAGUCCAUCAAGCAUUCUAUGAAAUAACAGAAAUGCCAAAAGUCAAGCUGUAUUGAUGUCACGCAUAGGUAUACAUAUAAACAACCCCGGAGGGCCCUAUACACAGAUUUAAAGAAACUGGCUAUCAUGGCAGGGAAUAGCAGUGAUGAGCUCUGAGAAUACUGUUUUACCAAGAAUACUGAGAAUACUUUGGUCCUUGAAAAUCUGAGUUUUCAGAUCACAGUAAUUGGAAGACCCUCAUACCUUGAAAAGUCAGCAGCAUUUAAUAUCGAAGUAGUAGGAGUGAGUGCAGUGUAUUGUAAGGUGGUCACUCACUCUGAAGUCCAUAACAAUAGAAAAUAUAUACAAAUCUUAAUUGAAUGAAUGAUGGAAAAUAAAAAUUUAUUGAUCCACAUCUUUAAUAAAGAUAAUUAUUAAAUGUUUACUUCUGCAUUUUUCAUUUAAGUCUGGCCCUAUAAAAAUAUACAAUAAUAACAAUAAGUUAUAUGUAAAUUAUGUAUUUAUUGUUGUUAUUAAUUAAACUUUGUAUCAAAACGAUAUAGGUUUGAUUUUAGAAUUGCAAAGUGUGUGUGGUUCAUUAUUAUCAGCCCAUUACUAGGCCAAGCUUACCUACUAAAUACAUAUAUAAUAUUAUGUGAUCUAAAGCUUUGUGUAAUGCAAUUUUACCACUAUUCCUAAGGAUAAGCUACACUUAUAUUUAUUUACUGCACUUACUAUAAAUUGUAUAAAAAUACAGCAUAAUAGUACCUACUUGUAAUUAUUUCAGGUGAUUUUGAGUAAAAUAAACAAAUUUCUGCUGUCAAUAUUUUUUUUAUUUCAAGUAGGAUUCCACAUUACAAAAGUAUGAAAUAUCAAACUACUUAUAUAGUAAAUAGUAUGCUUGGGAUUUCUCUGCGUGAUCGAAUCACAAAUGAGGAGAUCCGCAGACAAACCAAAGUCACUGACAUAGGUAGCACAGCGAGUCGUGAAGCUGAAGUGGCAAUGGGCAGGCCACAUAAUUCGAAGAGCCGAUGAAAUCGCAGUGUUGGUCAAACCCCCACUAGGUGGACCGAGGGCAUCAAGCGGGUUGCAAGGAGCCGCUGGACGCUGGCGGCUCGAGACCGUUGUGUUUGAAAGUCCAUGCAAGACGGCUAUGUCCAGCAGUGGACGUCCAUCGGCUGAUAAUUUUGAUUAUGAUAAUGUUCGUCCACAUAUCUUCAAUAUUUUUCUAACAACUCCUUCUUGUGAGAAAGAAACUUUUUGAUAAAAUUGAUCUAUUGUACUCUUGAACGAAUUAAAUUUUACUAUGAUAAAUAAAAACAAAAAGUAAA